UACCAAAAGGUCCCUGACAUUGAAUAUUUUGAUAGUUAUUGCAGCCAUAACUGAAAGGACAACGGGAGGAAUGUGGUUGCUUGCCAGACAAAACAUUAGUCACAUCAGUGAAACCCUCAUCUCUAUUGAACCCGCUUUCCCACUAUUUUUUUUGUUUGAACAGCUCAGUACUCGCACAGGAAAUAUUUAAAAAUGUGUGGAAUAAUGUGUCUUUUUACCGUUCAAUUAACCUUAGCCCUUGAACAGAAGAAGCUGGAAACACAGAGGUUGAAGUCUUAAGGAGGGCCUUGGAGUUAAUUGGGAAUUACUUCAGAUGGCAUUUACCAUCACUGUAACUGAACUGGAACCAUUUUUUUCUUUCCCAUUCUUAAUUUAAGCCCGUGUUAUGAUUUCACCCGUCAGAAAGUGGAAUAAGGUGGUUGCUCUUAUUUCCUCUCCCCACAAGCAGCAUUCUGUUCUGUUGACCUAAUCACAUUACAUAUAUUUUGGUAUUCAAUUAUGGACUACUGCUGUCACUUAGGUUUCCAGGGUAACGACAUUUUUGGUGCUGCACGCGAUUCUCCAGUAACAAGAAAAUGCAACUGCAAUAAAGAUCAUAUGUUAAAGGAAUUGCAGCGUAGUGGCUGUGUUGCAGCCCAAACGAACCAGAGGCUGAGACCCAAAGUGCUACAGCGAGGAGAUUUAUCUGCAGAUGACCGAAGAAAUCUGACUUUCUUUUAAUGUCUGGUAUCAUUAAUGGUGAUCAUAGGUUACUCAUAGUCAUACAGCGUGGAAUCAGGUUCUUCGCCCCUACUUGCCCACACAUGUCCCAGCUACACUUGUUCAACCUGCCUGCGUUUGGUCCAUAUCCCUCCAAACCUGUCCUAUCCAUGUACCUGUCCAACUGUUUCUUACAAGAUGGGAUAUUCCCUGCCUCAAUCACCUCCUCUGCCCACCACCCUAUGUGUGAUAUAUUGAUAUAUUGUUUGCCUAUGUAUAACCAUACCCAAAACAAUGUAGUUUGCUCUUAAAUUCCCUCUAAAAAAUCCUAGAAAGUAUUCAGUUCAAGCCCA
Molecule: long non-coding RNA, 1052 nt
Organism: Leucoraja erinaceus (little skate)
Lineage: Eukaryota; Metazoa; Chordata; Chondrichthyes; Rajiformes; Rajidae
Exons: 2
Source: RefSeq, a predicted model, not a curated record